CAAUAGCGUAUAUUAAAGUUGUUGCAGUUAAAAAGCUCGUAGUUGGAUUUCUGGUUGAAGCGACCGGUCGGGCGUUGAUUCGUCUACACUGGAGUCGGUUUUGGCCAUCCUCUAGGAAAGUGCGUCUGGUAUUAAGUUAUCGGGCGUAUGAUCCUGGUCUUUUACUGUGAAAAAAUUAGAGUGUUUAAAGCAGGCCUUCGCCUUGAAUACAUUAGCAUGGAAUAAUAAGAUAGGACUUUGGUCUAUUUUGUUGGUUUGCAGACCGAAGUAAUGAUUAAUAGGGAUAGUUGGGGGUAUUUAUAUUCCGAUGUCAGAGGUGAAAUUCUUAGAUUUUCGGAAGAUAAACUUAUGCGAAAGCAUUUACCAAGGAUGUUUUCAUUA
This 381-nucleotide ribosomal RNA is filed under the name uncultured eukaryote. Its description in RNAcentral is "partial 18S ribosomal RNA". It matches the Rfam family "Eukaryotic small subunit ribosomal RNA", at positions 592 to 975 of the family's 1831-position model. The record is from RNAcentral.